Molecule: unclassified non-coding RNA, 392 nt
Filed under: Hevea brasiliensis (rubber tree)
Lineage: Eukaryota; Viridiplantae; Streptophyta; Magnoliopsida; Malpighiales; Euphorbiaceae
Source: RNAcentral
AAUUUCCUUUGCUUGAUACACUGCCAAUUGCCUUGCGAAUAGAGAAAGUAGAACCAAUUUCCAUCAACACAAACAACUGCAAGUGAUAUUCUGAUAAUAACAGCACAAGCCACUUUUACCAUUUUGAAAAACACAAAACCCCUCUCUUUUAUAAUUUUAUUUCUUUCAAAGCCAGUAAAUCCCCUCGCAAAAUCGUAAUACCAAAAAAAAAAUCUCCCAUUAAAAGAAAAAAAAGUCUCACAUCUACCUAAAUAAGAUGCAAUAAGCAAUCGCAUACACAACAAAAACACAUAGCCGUUCAUUCAAAGUACCAUGUUUGACACCCAUGUCAUAAUACACACGCACAUAUACAGAAUACAUAUAUGGUACCUGGCUUUUCCUUCUUACAGGGU